RNAcentral lists this long non-coding RNA (438 nucleotides) under Vigna radiata. RNAcentral describes it as "long non-coding RNA (VRAD_LNC014422)". The record is from RNAcentral. Lineage: Eukaryota; Viridiplantae; Streptophyta; Magnoliopsida; Fabales; Fabaceae.
AUCUUGAUGAUUGAUUUAAUUGCUUGUGAAUGUCAUAUGAUCAAGACCAUUUUUUUUAGAACCCUUCUCUAACCAAAUUUUCACCCAAAACACUUAAAAAUAUUAUACCCUUUUUGAACCUUAGCCUUAAAUAGGAUGUGAAUCCUUGUCUUUAAAUUCUUUACCUUGAGUUGGGAUGAGCUUAAUUGUAUAUGAUGAAAAGGUUCAAGUUUGGGGUUGUAUGGGGGAAAAUUGAAAAGCAAUUGUGAAACAUUGAGCUCAAAUGUUAUGAAAAGAAAAAUUCAUGAGAAAAAGAAAAGAAAAGAAGAAAAGCAUGAAGAAGAGCUCAAUGAAAAAGAAAAAGGGGAAAAAGUUGAGGAUAAGUGAGAUUGGUGAGGAAGAGAGUUGUACUUAAAUUGUUUAAUAUUUGGAAAGCUCUCUUAACUCAAGAACUUUGUA